CAGAUGAACGCUAGCGGCAGGCUAAUACAUGCAAGUCGGACGGAAGUUUGAGGGAGCUUGCUCCUUUGAUUGAGAGUGGCGCACGGGUGCGUAACACGUAUGUAACCUACCCGUAUCAGGGGGAUAGCCUCUCGAAAGAGAGAUUAAGCCCGCAUAAAGUGGCAUCACCAAAUAGGGGGACCUUUAGGCCUUUAGGAUACGGAUGGGCAUGCGGAACAUUAGCUAGUUGGUGUGGUAACGGCAUACCAAGGCUACGAUGUUUAGGGGAUCUGAGAGGAUGACCCCCCACACUGGUACUGAGACACGGACCAGACUCCUACGGGAGGCAGCAGUAAGGAAUAUUGGUCAAUGGGCGGAAGCCUGAACCAGCCAUGCCGCGUGCAGGAAGACGGCCUACGGGUUGUAAACUGCUUUUGUACCGGAAUAACCUACUUAGGCUAAUAUCCUAAGUAGCUGAAUGUACGGUAAGAAUAAGGAUCGGCUAACUCCGUGCCAGCAGCCGCGGUAAUACGGAGGAUCCAAUCGUUAUCCGGAUUUAUUGGGUUUAAAGGGUGCGUAGGCGGCUUAUUAAGUCAGGGGUGAAAGACGGUAGCUCAACUAUCGCAGUGCCCUUGAUACUGAUGAGCUUGAAUGUACUUGAAGUAGGCGGAAUGUGACAAGUAGCGGUGAAAUGCAUAGAUAUGUCACAGAACACCGAUUGCGAAGGCAGCUUACUAAAGUAUGAUUGACGCUGAGGCACGAAAGCGUGGGGAUCAAACAGGAUUAGAUACCCUGGUAGUCCACGCCCUAAACGAUGAACACUCGAUGUUGGCGCCUAUACGGGGUCAGCGUCUAAGCGAAAGCGUUAAGUGUUCCACCUGGGGAGUACGCCCGCAAGGGUGAAACUCAAAGGAAUUGACGGGGGCCCGCACAAGCGGAGGAGCAUGUGGUUUAAUUCGAUGAUACGCGAGGAACCUUACCCGGGCUUGAAAGUUAGUGAAUGAUCCAGAGACGGAUCAGUGCCUUCGGGAACACGAAACUAGGUGCUGCAUGGCUGUCGUCAGCUCGUGCCGUGAGGUGUUGGGUUAAGUCCCGCAACGAGCGCAACCCCUAUGUUUAGUUGCCAGCAUGUAAUGUGGGGACUCUAAACAGACUGCCUACGACAAGUAGGAGGAAGGAGGGGACGACGUCAAGUCAUCAUGGCCCUUACGUCCGGGGCUACACACGUGCUACAAUGGGCAGUACAGAGGGCAGCAACCUGGCAACAGGAAGCCAAUCUCAAAAAGCUGUUCACAGUUCGGAUUGAGGUCUGCAACUCGACCUCAUGAAGUUGGAU
RNAcentral lists this ribosomal RNA (1315 nucleotides) under Mucilaginibacter sp. IMCC12823. Its description in RNAcentral is "bacterial SSU rRNA". It matches the Rfam family "Bacterial small subunit ribosomal RNA", at positions 26 to 1331 of the family's 1533-position model. The record is from RNAcentral. Lineage: Bacteria; Pseudomonadati; Bacteroidota; Sphingobacteriia; Sphingobacteriales; Sphingobacteriaceae.